This 318-nucleotide non-coding RNA is filed under the name Homo sapiens (human). The record is from RNAcentral. Lineage: Eukaryota; Metazoa; Chordata; Mammalia; Primates; Hominidae.
AUGCAAAUGAAACUGAUGGAAAUGAAAGAUUUGGAAAAUCAUAAUAGUCAGUUAAAUUGGUGCAGUAGCCCACACAGCAUUCUUGUAAACGGAGCUACAGAUUAUUGCAGCCUCAGCACCAGCAGCAGUGAAACAGCCAACCUUAAUGAACAUGUUGAAGGCCAGAGCAACCUAGAGUCUGAGCCCAUACACCAGGAAUCUCCAGCAAGAAGUAGUCCUGAACUACUGCCUUCUGGUGUGACUGAUGAAAAUGAGGUGACUACAGCUGUUACUGAAAAAGUUUGUUCUGAACUCGACAAUAAUAGACAUUCAAAAGAG